This 210-nucleotide long non-coding RNA is filed under the name Prunus dulcis (almond). Its description in RNAcentral is "sRNA ncRNA". The record is from RNAcentral. Lineage: Eukaryota; Viridiplantae; Streptophyta; Magnoliopsida; Rosales; Rosaceae.
AUGUACUUUCUUCUUCAAGUACAUCCAGAAGAAACAACUAGUACUUGGGCGAACCGUUUCACCCUUAGCUGUGCCCAACUUGCCUCUUUCUGCUUCUUCUUCCAUCUUCAUUUUCUUCUUGUGGAGGCAUCUCAGCACAUGUGCUUCAGCAAGACUAUAACCAGCAGUGGACAUGGCCUACUUUUAUUUUAUUGUUGGUUUAAAAAAAAA